This is a non-coding RNA of Pelobates fuscus (common spadefoot toad), 1636 nucleotides long. The record is from the annotation of a RefSeq genome assembly. NCBI's taxonomy places the organism in Eukaryota, Metazoa, Chordata, Amphibia, Anura, Pelobatidae.
UCAGGUGCCUUAGAAGAAUCCCUUCACCCAUGUUUGGCAAGAAAGACCUGUUAACAUGUCCCACUCUCAGCACCCUUGGUCUUCCCACUGAUUCCUUGCUGUGGUAACGUUGAUUUGAAAACUAAUGUGACUAUUGGCUGCCUGGCUACUGGGUUCAUGCCAUCUCCUGUGGAAAUAACAUGGACUGGAGGAAGCAAAAUCUCUUCUGUUAGAUCAACAAAACCUGUUCUUGGAGCAACAGAUGGUCUCUUUAUACAAAGUGGCCAGAUCAGCAUCCCAGCAUCAGAACUAAAAAAUGCCCCUGUCCAAUGUAGUGUGGCACAUUCUUUCUCUGGCACAAACCAAAAGAAGACAUUACGAGCAUUGCCAUGCACCCAGCCAACUGUGCAGUUGUUACUGCAGCCCCCCUGUGCCAAUGCAGAGCUUGUUAAAGCUGCUGUAGGACAUAAGAAUAUUAACACUACAUUGGACUUGGUCUGUCUUAUUUCCAACUUUUACCCGCAAAACAUCCGUGUACAAUGGUUGGUGAAUGGAAAGGAAGAUGUCAGUGCAAGCGCAACAGUGCCAGUACCUCUGAAGGCAAAUGAUGGCCUUUUCACUGCCAAUAGUCAUCUUACAAUCCUGGAAGGAAAAUGGAACAAAGGCACUGGAUACUCGUGUAUUGUGACACACAUUGCUUCUAAAAUUGAUACUGUUGCUAAUAUCAGCAAAUGCACAGAACCAUGUUCUGACAGCUUGGAAAUUUACCUGAUCCCACCAACUUUUGAAGACUUGUAUAUCAAACGCAAUGCCAAGAUUGUCUGUUUCGUAAACAACAUGAGAACCACUGAAAACGUUGAGGUCAUUUGGACCAGGGAAAAUGGAAAUGUCACAUUUCUCACUGAGGAUCCAAUUCUUCAUGACAAUGGGACUUACAGUAUGUACAGUUACCUCAAAAUCUGUUCUGAAGACUGGGAAACUGGGGAGAAGUUCACAUGCACAGUCAAAAGCCAAGACUUGCCAUCACCACUUAAGAAAGUGAUCUUCAAACACAAUGAGAGGACACCUAGUGCUCCGUAUGUAUACGUCCUUCCCCCAGCCCAUGAAGAGCUUGAGCAGGAAGAGCUGGCUUCAAUCACCUGCUUUGUGACAACAUUUUACCCUAACGAUAUUCUCAUUAAAUGGUUGGAUGGUGGCAAUGAGGUCAGCGUAGACAAGUAUGUGAACACAGCACCCAUCAAAAAGGACGAUGGUACCUAUGUUAUGUAUAGUUAUUUGACCGUCUCCGCCAACAAAUGGAAAGAUGGAAAUGUAUUCACUUGUGUUGUUGGACAUGAAGCACUUCCCUACUACAUCAGACAACAAAGCAUUGAUAAGUCAAGCGUAUUCAUAUGUAUAGAUGAUGAAUGCACUCGAGAUUUGGAAAAUGUAUGGUUUACAGCGUCCACUUUUAUGGUUCUUUUUCUUGUGAGCCUCUUCUAUACAGCAACAGUCACGGUAUUUAAGGUUAAAGGCUGAAAUCUGUCAUCAGUCCUCUAAAAAAAGAAGUAUUUCAUUAAUAUGUGAUGUGUUUUGCUCAAGUCAUCCUGGAAAUGCCAAUUUGUGUUACUGAAGAAACAGCUAUCAUUAUACCAUACUGAAGAGUUGGGAUGUUAUA